GGACUACUCCCAAGAUCCUGAAAGCUCUUCCAGUCUCCGCUAGCCAGAAUUCGGCCUCUUCAAAAGAGGAUCCCCCUGCAAAGGUGGAGGGGUUCAGUCUCCUGUACCUCUCUAUGUAGCCCGGGUCGAUCAAGGAAGGAGCGGAGUCCCGUGGAGGAGGGACUAGACCCGGCUGGGGAUAGACUGGGGGGUCCUGUGGUGGCACCU
RNAcentral lists this long non-coding RNA (207 nucleotides) under Carica papaya (papaya). RNAcentral describes it as "long non-coding RNA (CPAP_LNC014896)". The record is from RNAcentral. Lineage: Eukaryota; Viridiplantae; Streptophyta; Magnoliopsida; Brassicales; Caricaceae.